This 357-nucleotide ribosomal RNA is filed under the name uncultured bacterium. RNAcentral describes it as "bacterial SSU rRNA". It matches the Rfam family "Bacterial small subunit ribosomal RNA", at positions 29 to 412 of the family's 1533-position model. The record is from RNAcentral.
AACGAACGCUGGCGGCAGGCCUCAAACAUGCAAGUCUAGGGGGUGUAGCAAUACAUCACCGGCGGACGGGUGCGUAACGCGUGGGAAUAUACCUAUUGGUUCGGAACAACUGAGGGAAACUUCAGCUAAUACCGGAUACGUCCUUACGGAGAAAGAUUUAUCGCCAAUAGAUUAGCCCGCGUUCGAUUAGCUAGUUGGUGGGUAACGGCCCACCAAGGCGACGAUCGAUAGCUGUUCUGAGAGGAAGAUCAGCCACACUGGGACUGAGACACGGCCCAGACUCCUACGGGAGGCAGCAGUUGGGAAUCUUGGACAAUGGGGGAAACCCUGAUCCAGCCAUGCCGCGUGAGUGAUGAA